AUUGAACGCUGGCGGCAUGCCUUACACAUGCAAGUCGGACGGUUCUUGUAUCUUCAAGCUUGCUUGCAGGUGCAAGGAUAGUGGCGGACGGGUGAGUAACGCGUGAACAUCUACCCAUUGGAGGGGGACAACCCGUCGAAAGGCGGGCUAAUACCGCGUAAGCCGCGAGGUGAGAGGCUGCCUAUUGGUGGCCGCCGAUGGAUGGGUUCGCGUCCUAUCAGCUGGUUGGUGGGGUAACGGCCUACCAAGGCGAAGACGGGUAGCCGGUCUGAGAGGAUGGCCGGCCACACUGGAACUGAGACACGGUCCAGACUCCUACGGGAGGCAGCAGUGGGGAAUAUUGGGCAAUGGGGGAGACCCUGACCCAGCGACGCCGCGUGAGGGAUGAAGGUUUUCGGAUCGUAAACCUCUGUUGUACGGGAAGAAGGAUGUGACGGUACCGUACGAGGAAGCCCCGGCAAACUACGUG
RNAcentral lists this ribosomal RNA (469 nucleotides) under uncultured bacterium. RNAcentral's name for it is "bacterial SSU rRNA". It matches the Rfam family "Bacterial small subunit ribosomal RNA", at positions 28 to 507 of the family's 1533-position model. The record is from RNAcentral.